Molecule: ribosomal RNA, 807 nt
Filed under: uncultured Diaphorobacter sp.
Lineage: Bacteria; Pseudomonadati; Pseudomonadota; Betaproteobacteria; Burkholderiales; Comamonadaceae
Description: bacterial SSU rRNA
Rfam family: Bacterial small subunit ribosomal RNA
Source: RNAcentral
CGGUAACAGGUCUUCGGAUGCUGACGAGUGGCGAACGGGUGAGUAAAACAUCGGAACGUGCCCAAGAGUGGGGGAUAACGAGGCGAAAGCUUUGCUAAUACCGCAUACGAUCUACGGAUGAAAGCGGGGGAUCUUCGGACCUCGCGCUCCUGGAGCGGCCGAUGGCAGAUUAGGUAGUUGGUGGGGUAAGAGCCUACCAAGCCUGCGAUCUGUAGCUGGUCUGAGAGGAUGAUCAGCCACACUGGGACUGAGACACGGUCCAGACUCCUACGGGAGGCAGCAGUGGGGAAUUUUGGACAAUGGGCGAAAGCCUGAUCCAGCCAUGCCGCGUGCAGGAUGAAGGCCUUCGGGUUGUAAACUGCUUUUGUACGGAACGAAAAGGUUCUUUCUAAUAAAGAGGGCCCAUGACGGUACCGUAAGAAUAAGCACCGGCUAACUACGUGCCAGCAGCCGCGGUAAUACGUAGGGUGCAAGCGUUAAUCGGAAUUACUGGGCGUAAAGCGUGCGCAGGCGGUUAUAUAAGACAGAUGUGAAAUCCCCGGGCUCAACCUGGGAACUGCAUUAGUGACUGUAUAGCUAGAGUGCGGCAGAGGGGGAUGGAAUUCCGCGUGUAGCAGUGAAAUGCGUAGAUAUGCGGAGGAACACCGACGGCGAAGGCAAUCCCCUGGGCCUGCACUGACGCUCAUGCACGAAAGCGUGGGGAGCAAACAGGAUUAGAUACCCUGGUAGUCCACGCCCUAAACGAUGUCAACUGGUUGUUGGGGCCGUUAGGCCUUAGUAGCGCAGCUAACGCGUGAAGUUGACCGC